AUUGAACGCUGGCGGCAUGCUUUACACAUGCAAGUCGAACGGCAGCACAGGGAGCUUGCUCCCGGGUGGCGAGUGGCGCACGGGUGAGUAAUACAUCGGAACGUGUCCUGUUGUGGGGGAUAACUGCUCGAAAGGGUGGCUAAUACCGCAUGAGACCUGAGGGUGAAAGCGGGGGAUCGCAAGACCUCGCGCAAUUGGAGCGGCCGAUGCCCGAUUAGCUAGUUGGUGGGGUAAAGGCUCACCAAGGCGACGAUCGGUAGCUGGUCUGAGAGGACGACCAGCCACACUGGGACUGAGACACGGCCCAGACUCCUACGGGAGGCAGCAGUGGGGAAUUUUGGGACAAUGGGGGGCAACCCUGAUCCAGCCAUGCCGCGUGCAGGAUGAAGGCCUUCGGUUGUAACUGCUUUGUCAGGGACGAAAAGGACCGUGUUAAUACCAUGGUCUGCUGACGGUACCUGAAGAAUAAGCACCGG
RNAcentral lists this ribosomal RNA (476 nucleotides) under uncultured bacterium. RNAcentral's name for it is "bacterial SSU rRNA". It matches the Rfam family "Bacterial small subunit ribosomal RNA", at positions 29 to 496 of the family's 1533-position model. The record is from RNAcentral.